This 425-nucleotide ribosomal RNA is filed under the name uncultured bacterium. Its description in RNAcentral is "partial 16S ribosomal RNA". It matches the Rfam family "Bacterial small subunit ribosomal RNA", at positions 354 to 796 of the family's 1533-position model. The record is from RNAcentral.
GUGGGGAAUCUUAGACAAUGGGCGCAAGCCUGAUCUAGCCAUGCCGCGUGAUCGAUGAAGGCCUUAGGGUUGUAAAGAUCUUUCAGUGGGGAAGAUAAUGACUGUACCCCAAGAAGAAGCCCCGGCUAACUCCGUGCCAGCAGCCGCGGUAAUACGGAGGGGGCUAGCGUUGUUCGGAAUUACUGGGCGUAAAGCGCACGUAGGCGGACUGGAAAGUCAGGGGUGAAAUCCCGGGGCUCAACCCCGGAACUGCCUUUGAAACUCCCAGUCUUGAGUUCGAGAGAGGUGAGUGGAAUUCCGAGUGUAGAGGUGAAAUUCGUAGAUAUUCGGAGGAACACCAGUGGCGAAGGCGGCUCACUGGCUCGAUACUGACGCUGAGGUGCGAAAGCGUGGGGAGCAAACAGGAUUAGAAACCCGUGUAGUCC